CCAAUAGCGUAUAUUAAAGUUGCUGCAGUUAAAAAGCUCGUAGUUGAAUUUCGGGACCAAUAUGUCGGUCGUGCCUCGGUACGUACUGGCAUCGUUGGUUUCUCCCUUCUGAAGAACCAUGAUGUCAUUCAUUUGGUGUCGUGGGGAAUCAGGACUGUUACUUUGAAAAAAUUAGAGUGUUUAAAGCAGGCUCACGCUUGAAUACAUUAGCAUGGAAUAAUGAAAUAGGACGUUUGAUUCUAUUUUGUUGGUUUCUAGGAUCGACGUAAUGAUUAAUAGGGAUAGUUGGGGGCAUUAGUAUUCAAUUGUCAGAGGUGAAAUUCUUGGAUUUAUUGAAGACUAACUACUGCGAAAGCAUUUGCCAAGGAUGUUUUCAUUAAUCAAGAACGAAAGUUAGGGGAUCGAAGACGAUCAGAUACCGUCGUAGUCUUAACCAUAAACUAUGCCGACUAGGGAUCGGAUGAUGUUAAUUUUUUAAUGACUCAUUCGGCGCCUUACG
RNAcentral lists this ribosomal RNA (499 nucleotides) under uncultured Glomeromycotina. RNAcentral describes it as "partial small subunit ribosomal RNA". It matches the Rfam family "Eukaryotic small subunit ribosomal RNA", at positions 591 to 1092 of the family's 1831-position model. The record is from RNAcentral. Lineage: Eukaryota; Fungi; Glomeromycota.